RNAcentral lists this unclassified non-coding RNA (367 nucleotides) under Hevea brasiliensis (rubber tree). Lineage: Eukaryota; Viridiplantae; Streptophyta; Magnoliopsida; Malpighiales; Euphorbiaceae. The record is from RNAcentral.
GGAAUCCGCCGCCACCCCACUUGGAAAUAUCUUUCCGCUGCGAUCGUAGAUAUUAUAACGAGCAUUACUAUAGUCAGAGAAGCAAGUACGGAGACCAGAUUGAUUUGCGAGCUCCCAAACCGGAUUGGACUCUUUACCACCAACACCGGCGAUCCAACCAGCACCGAGCUCCACCGAGACACCACCGAAAUUUUCCUUACGGAUCCUACCGCCAAUACGAUCGGACGCUUCUAAAAUCACCAGGUCCUCUAUUCCAUUCUCCGCCAACACCUUCGCCGCAGAUAAACCGGAGAUGCCAGCGCCAAUGAUGAUGACGGAGGAGCGAGAAGGAAAGUCCAUUGUCGAAAGGAAUUGAAGGGAAGGAAAG